GAUGAACGCUGGCGGCGUGCCUAAUACAUGCAAGUCGAGCGAACGGACGAGAAGCUUGCUUCUCUGAUGUUAGCGGCGGACGGGUGAGUAACACGUGGAUAACCUACCUAUAAGACUGGGAUAACUUCGGGAAACCGUAGCUAAUACCGGAUAAUAUUUUGAACCGCAUGGUUCAAAAGUGAAAGACGGUCUUGCUGUCACUUAUAGAUGGAUCCGCGCUGCAUUAGCUAGUUGGUAAGGUAACGGCUUACCAAGGCAACGAUGCAUAGCCGACCUGAGAGGGUGAUCGGCCACCCUGGAACUGAGACGCGGUCCAUGCUCCUACGGGAGGCAGCAGUAGGGUAUCUUCCGCAGUGGGCGAAAGCCUGGCGGAGCAAGGCCGCGUGAGUUAUGACGGUCUUCCGUUCGUAAAACUCUGUUAUUAGGGAAGAACAUAUGUGUAAGUAACUGUGCACAUCUUGACGGUACCUAAUCAGAAAGCCACGGCUAACUACGUG
RNAcentral lists this ribosomal RNA (497 nucleotides) under uncultured bacterium. Its description in RNAcentral is "partial 16S ribosomal RNA". It matches the Rfam family "Bacterial small subunit ribosomal RNA", at positions 28 to 507 of the family's 1533-position model. The record is from RNAcentral.